This 582-nucleotide ribosomal RNA is filed under the name uncultured bacterium. RNAcentral's name for it is "bacterial SSU rRNA". It matches the Rfam family "Bacterial small subunit ribosomal RNA", at positions 338 to 917 of the family's 1533-position model. The record is from RNAcentral.
CCUACGGGAGGCAGCAGUGAGGAAUAUUGGACAAUGGAGGCAACUCUGAUCCAGCCAUGCCGCGUGCAGGAAGACGGCCCUAUGGGUUGUAAACUGCUUUUAUACAGGAAGAAUUGUGCCUACGUGUAGGUAUUUGACGGUACUGUACGAAUAAGGAUCGGCUAACUCCGUGCCAGCAGCCGCGGUAAUACGGAGGAUCCAAGCGUUAUCCGGAAUCAUUGGGUUUAAAGGGUCCGUAGGCGGUCUGAUAAGUCAGGGGUGAAAGUUUGCAGCUCAACUGUAAAAUUGCCUUUGAUACUGGUUAUCUUGAGUUGUAUUGAAGUAGGCGGAAUAUGUAGUGUAGCGGUGAAAUGCAUAGAUAUUACAUAGAACACCAAUUGCGAAGGCAGCUUACUAAGUACUAACUGACGCUGAUGGACGAAAGCGUGGGUAGCGAACAGGAUUAGAUACCCUGGUAGUCCACGCCGUAAACGAUGGAUACUAGCUGUUCGGGGCCUUGAGUUCUGAGCGGCUAAGCGAAAGUGAUAAGUAUCCCACCUGGGGAGUACGUUCGCAAGAAUGAAACUCAAAGGAAUUGACGGA